GACGAACGCUGGCGGCAUGCCUAACACAUGCAAGUCGAGCGAGUGGAGUUCUUCGGAACAAAGCUAGCGGCGGACGGGUGAGUAACACGUGGGCAACCUGCCUCAUAGAGGGGAAUAGCCUCCCGAAAGGGAGAUUAAUACCGCAUAAGAUUGUAGCUUCGCAUGAAGUAGCAAUUAAAGGAGCAAUCCGCUAUGAGAUGGGCCCGCGGCGCAUUAGCUAGUUGGUGAGGUAACGGCUCACCAAGGCGACGAUGCGUAGCCGACCUGAGAGGGUGAUCGGCCACAUUGGGACUGAGACACGGCCCAGACUCCUACGGGAGGCAGCAGUGGGGAAUAUUGCACAAUGGGGGAAACCCUGAUGCAGCAAUGCCGCGUGAGUGAUGACGGCCUUCGGGUUGUAAAGCUCUGUCUUCGGGGACGAUAAUGACGGUACCCGAGGAGGAAGCCACGG
Molecule: ribosomal RNA, 451 nt
Filed under: uncultured bacterium
Lineage: Bacteria
Description: bacterial SSU rRNA
Rfam family: Bacterial small subunit ribosomal RNA
Source: RNAcentral